Molecule: ribosomal RNA, 758 nt
Filed under: uncultured bacterium
Lineage: Bacteria
Description: bacterial SSU rRNA
Rfam family: Bacterial small subunit ribosomal RNA
Source: RNAcentral
ACGCUGGCGGCGUGCCUAAUACAUGCAAGUCGAACGCACAGCGAAAGGUGCUUGCACCUUUCAAGUGAGUGGCGAACGGGUGAGUAACACGUGGACAACCUGCCUCAAGGCUGGGGAUAACAUUUGGAAACAGAUGCUAAUACCGAAUAAAACUUAGUGUCGCAUGACACAAAGUUAAAAGGCGCUUCGGCGUCACCUAGAGAUGGAUCCGCGGUGCAUUAGUUAGUUGGUGGGGUAAAGGCCUACCAAGACAAUGAUGCAUAGCCGAGUUGAGAGACUGAUCGGCCACAUUGGGACUGAGACACGGCCCAAACUCCUACGGGAGGCUGCAGUAGGGAAUCUUCCACAAUGGGCGAAAGCCUGAUGGAGCAACGCCGCGUGUGUGAUGAAGGCUUUCGGGUCGUAAAGCACUGUUGUAUGGGAAGAACAGCUAGAAUAGGAAAUGAUUUUAGUUUGACGGUACCAUACCAGAAAGGGACGGCUAAAUACGUGCCAGCAGCCGCGGUAAUACGUAUGUCCCGAGCGUUAUCCGGAUUUAUUGGGCGUAAAGCGAGCGCAGACGGUUUAUUAAGUCUGAUGUGAAAGCCCAGAGCUCAACUCCGGAAUGGCAUUGGAAACUGGUUGACUUGAGUGCAGUAGAGGUAAGUGGAACUCCAUGUGUAGCGGUGGAAUGCGUAGAUAUAUGGAAGAACACCAGUGGCGAAGGCGGCUUACUGGACUGCAACUGACGUUGAGGCUCGAAAGUGUGGGUAGCAAAC